This is a long non-coding RNA of Lemur catta (Ring-tailed lemur), 2300 nucleotides long. RefSeq lists it as uncharacterized. The transcript is spliced from 9 exons. The record is from RefSeq and is a predicted model, not a curated record. Lineage: Eukaryota; Metazoa; Chordata; Mammalia; Primates; Lemuridae.
CAGGUACAGCACAGUCUGCAAGCGGAAGGCAAGGGGGUGUGGCAAGGGCGGGCCUAGAUGCCAAACAUGAUUGGCCCUUGGAGGUCCUUUCAAGGCUCAGACCUUCCUAAGGGCGUGGGAAGCCAAUGAAGAGAUUCCAGCAGGGCAAUGGUAAGAGCACAUGUGCAUUUUAAAGAGCACCUGGCUUUCGUGGGGAAUAUACUGGAAGACAGUUAAAGGGCUGCUGCCAUCCUCCCCGGCUGCUCUGUGUGCUUGGCCUAAGAUCCAAACCCUCACCUGGGCCUGCAGGGCCCUUCGCACCCGACCCCAGCCUUCUGCUCCCACCUCCUGUCGUGCCGUGUCCUCUGUCCGCUGUCUCUCUGGAACAGGGCAGAAUCUUUUCCAUCUUGGGACAUUGUAACACGCUAAUCCCCUUUGCCUGGAACACUUUUGCUUAGCUCUUCUCAGAACUGGCUUGUUACUAGAGCUUUCUUUCAGCUCCAGAGUCACCUCCUCAGAGAAGCCUUCCCUGGCCCCCUUCUUAAAAUACCUCCCAUUAUUUCUUUCAAUCCGCUCAUCAUUAUCUGAAACUAUCUCAGGCCUUAUAUGUUUGCAUAUUUGUUUGUCUUUUGGCAUUAGGAUAUAAACUUCUGGCCUUCCGUGUCUAAUUUGCUCUUGUGCAUGACAGUCGGAGCUUUGGAGCCGGGAGGAACACAGGGAAACAUGGUAGACCGAGUGCAGGAGAGGGCCCAGGAUAUAACUGGAAGGAUGUAAAUACCAGAGGGUGAGCUGGCGCUGGAGACUGCAGGAACAUCUGGGCAGAAGAGGAGCGUCAUGUCGUGGAAGACCAUGGAAGACAGUGUUUGAAGGAGUUCGCGGUAUGAAAACUAAGGUGCAGAGAGAUGGAAAUAACUAUUGAAAGUCACAAAACUGAUUUAUUCUAGUCUCCCAUGUGUUGGCCAAACAGUCCCAAUUGGUCAAAGUGAAUUUGAAGAAAAAUCUAUGUUAACUGGAAGCAUAAAUUCACAAAAGAGGAGGACAAGAAGGACAAUGAGAAGUUCCAGACGUUGCCUUGAAUAAUCUCCUGAAAGGAAGAACAACAAAUCCUCUGGAUUUGGGAGCAGCUGGACGUCGGCCUUCCGUCUUUUAUGCAUAUGCUCCUCUUUCCUGGCACAGUGUCACCUCGGGCUCUGUCCCUUUCUGGUCUGAAGGAGGAUGAGUGUGCCUGAGAGGAUGGAGCGGGUGUGGAAGACAGGCCAGCAGCCCUCCUGCUCCUACAAGCAGCAAGCGUGUGCACACGGUGAUGAUGGGCUUCUAGCCUUCAGGAGAACGUGCCCUGGUGCCUCUGAAUGCUGCUGUUGGUUCCUCCCACCACACACGCACAUGCACACACACACAUGCACACACGCACACGCACACGUAUGCACACACAGUGCAAUGCACUCCUCCAAAAACACCAAUCUCUGAGAGAAUGCAGCCAGCUGGAACCCACCGUGGAACCUCCUUCUCUUGUUACCUCAGGACAUAAUGGAGACUGACUUUCUGGGAGAUUGCUCGGCCGGGUGGGGAAUGAAAACUUUAAUUUCAAAUCAUCUUGUUUGCACUUUCCUUGAGAAAAAUCUUGGCUUGGAUGAUACCCAAUAUAAUGUGAUCUAUUUUGUAGCAUUGUGAAGAAAGCAACUACCAUCUUCAACCUCAUCAUCUUAUAAAGGACAAUUAUGGCAUCAAAAAAAUCAGCGAGCAUGAUCUUACUCUCUGGCCCUGGUUCAAGAGCUGGCCUUAGUGCGUUGGCUUUGAAGUCAGAUAACCUGGGGUCAAGUCCGUGCCUUCCCACCGGGUGGCUGUGUGGCCUUGGGUACAAUAAUAUACUCGACAUGUAUCAGUCAACUGCAUUUAUUAAUCACCCACUGUGUGUUCAGCGUCUGGUGCUAUGGAGCCUUGGCGAGAAAGACAUUCAAGGACUUCAUAGUGUAAUGGAGGAGAAGAAGAAACACAAAUGUGUACAUGUAAACAAGCAGGGCUGGAAAUGUUUAAACACACACACACACACACGCACACACACACAUAAUCCUGAGCAUCUGUACAAAGACAGGUGGAAAAGACAAAAGGCUGUCACUAACACACUGACAUCGGAAGCUCGGAGCCCUCUGCUCGUUGCGUACACAUGAAGAGACAGCUCGUCCAGGUCAGCAGAGAGGAAUAUGACCUCUGACCCCUGCCCUCUGGCCAGAGGAGAGUCCCAAGGCUGGAUUGAUGUCAAUGUCAUCCCCAGGCUGCUUUACAUUUUUCAGAAGGAUCACACUGUGCAUUUGACGAUGGAG